UGCCGGAAGGUUACUGCUCUACACCGGGCUUUCGCUAGCGCUCUGCGCCCUCGGCAUGCUGGCGGUGGCCAUCUGCUCCGACCACUGGUACGAGACUGACGCCAGGAAGCACAGGGACAGGUGCAAGGCCUUCAACACGCGCCGGGUCGACCCCGGCUUCAUUUACAACAACAACAACAACUUGCCUCUGCGCGCGAGCCGCUCGCGCCUGGACCGCUGGGAGGGCAAACUCCUCCGGGCCCGGAAUCGCCGGCAGCUGUUCGCCAUGAGCCCGGCGGACGAGUGCAGCCGGCAGUACAACUCCACCAACAUGGGCCUCUGGAGGAAGUGCCACCGGCAGGGCUUCGACCCGGAGAUCGCUGCCCUCAUCCGGAAAGAUUGGGCUAAGAUUUGAGCCCCUCCUCCAAGCAGAGAUAGGUGGUACUGGAUGUGCGUUCAUGUCAACACUACUGGACUCUGCACUUAGAAACGAUUAGAACGAUGAAGUGUGUGUCGCAUGUUUUCUUCUCUGCCUACGAUAAGCGAUUUCAAAGAGGAAAGGAAAGGCUUGUCUUGGCUUCUGGUUUUGGAGGUUCUGACCCAACAGUUCUGGCACUGUUGUUUUGGGGUCUAUGGUGAGGACGUACAUUAAGGUUGGAGUGUUUGGAAGAGGAUGGUGCUUUCCUCACAGUAGCCAGGAAACCAAGGCAAAGGAAAGAAGGAGAUGGUCAGGUCCUACUAUCUCUUUUGAGGACACACCCCCAAACAACCGAACCUUCAGUAGCUCCCGUGUCCUGAAGGUUCUACUAUUUCCCUGUAGUGCCCUCGGCUGGGAUCAACCUUCAACACUGGGGCCUUUGGGGACAUUCAUCUCUCAACUGAAGCAAAUAGAGAAAGACAUGCAAACAUUUAGAAAAGGAGCUGUUUGAUUCACUUCAUUAUAUAGAAUAUUUCAUAGCAAAGGCCCGUCAUCCAUUCAGAAUAUUUAUUAAGCACCUACUAUGGACCAGGCAGCAGGUCAAGUAUGCUUAACACAUAUCAUAGAUGCCAAUUAAAUGGAUAAAAUUCAUAUCUGUGUAAAGUUCAUGUUUAACUGUUUUUGAGUAUAUAUUUCCUUUUUCUAAGUAAAACAGAUUUUUGGUGGGUUCUUACUUCUUCCCCCAUCCCUUGGGAGAUCAAUCCCAAGGCCUUGAACAUGCUAGACAAGUGUUCCGCUACUGAGUUAUUCCAUCAGCUCUAAAUAUCAAUAUAUAAAACAAGUGGAAGUAAUGAAUACAUUGCUUGGGUCAUUUAAGAAAUCACUGAAUGAGGAAAAUUUCAUGUACUUGUUCAAAAAGGAUUAUUGAGCAGUGACUAUGCUAGGUACAUUAUCUGGGGUGGAGGCUCUAGAGCAAAAUCCAAUACUUACUCAUUCCUUUCUUCAAGAAGUGAAAGAUGAGAAGGCAUAGGCGUGGAUUGAUGAGGGAUUAAUGAUUGGCUCUGUGAGGGAUUUCGGGUGCUGGGGCCCCAGUGCCACUUUAGAGCAGCAAGACCGGGCUUUAUAGUAAAGCAGAUAUGAUAUCCUAAGACAUUUUUAGAAAGGUGUCUGGGGAUGAUAGGGGGAAGUUUUAGCUUCAUUUAAAAAUGAUUAAUUCUGACUAGGCAAAUGCAUGUCCGUCUUCAACUGUUCCCUUUGCUCCUCAGACUCCCUGCUCUUCUGGGAGGCAGCCUUGCUUAGUAGUUUCCACCAAUCAUGUCAGAGUCUUUGUGUUCUAAUAGUUAAAGACAAUAUUAUUGAUACAGAUAAGCCAGACAGUGAACUGGUGAUUCAAAGACAAGAAUGUUUCUCUUUUAUAAAUUUGUGUGCUUAGAGAUGGUGAGUAAAGGACCCUCCCAGGAGUCACUAGGAGUUGUCUGAAGGUGGAGUUAGGGUACAAGCUGAUGUCGCCUUCACGGGAGCUUGACAGGUUGGCUGCUUUUAUGGGAAACUACAGUAUCUGAAUUAUAUUUGAUUGAUUUUUUUUCUGGCGCCAAAGUAUUUUGCCAAGAAAAGGCAAUUUGCUUUAUAUUAGGUCAUCCUCCUGCGUUCCUCUCAUUCCCUGCUUUUUAGAAUGCCCGGCUCGUUCAUAUUCAGGGCCUCACUCUAGGACUCUUCAUUUGCUCUAGAGCAUCUCAUUCAGUUUUGCCCCAAGCUUCCUGUCAAUUUAUGAUAGUGAUUCUAUUUAGGCAAUUUGAACCCUUUUCCCCAAGGUGUCGGGUAUUUCCCAGGCCUGGGUGGAGCAGGGUUGGUUUUGCCCGAAAGAGGCUCUGGGCUGAUGUGCUGGUGAUGUGCACUAACUGUCUCAACACUGGAAAGAGGAGACCGUUACAAGGUUGGAGACAGGCACAUAUCUAUGUACCUGUGAGUACGCGAAACCACCAGGAAUGCCCAUGGCAUUUCUGUUUGUAAUAGCAAAAUAAAAAGAUUGUACAAAAGUGAAAAACCUAAUUGUCUACUAAUAGGGAAUGGAUAGUAAAUUGUAGUAUAUUUAUACAAUGGAAACUAACACAGUAUAUGUAACAUAUACAUACCCACUUCUGGGCAUAUAUACCUCAAAGGCCCUGAGCCAACAUAUCACACAAAUACCUGCAUAUUCAUGCUUAUUACUGGCUAUGUCCACAAUAGCCAGUUUAAAGACCUGGCCUCAGUGUCUGCCGGCAGAUAAAUGGAUAAAGAAAAUGUGGAAUAUAUGCACAAUGGAGAUUAAUUCAGCUAUAAAGAGGAGUAAAUUUAUGCCAUUUGUUGGGAAAUGGAUUCAGCUGAAGUUCAUCGCAUGAAGUGAACUAGGUCAGAUACAAAAAGACAAAACUUCACAUUUUCUUUUAGUUUUGACUUGUAGAAUUCUUUGUUGACACAUAUGACAUGGAAGCUGAAGACAGACUAUGGGAAAGAGGAGGGGGCCAAAAAGAGCGAGUCAGAGAAGGUGAGUGAGGUCAAAAUACAUGAUAUACUUGAAAGAAAUUAUCUACAUGAAAACCAGCACCGUGUGCAAUGACUAUCCACCAACUGAAAUAUUAAAAAUGCCAUCCAUGCUUCCAAAUGAAUAAACAUGGAUUUGAGUGAAGUCAGCAUUGUGAAACAUGGUUUGGAGAGUAGGAUGGCAUUUAUAUGAAGUUCAAAACCAAAUGAAGGGGAGCUAGGGACACAGCUCAGGGGUAGAGCUCUUGCCUAGCAAGUACAAGGCUCCAGCUCAAGUCCUCAUACUGCAGAAAACAGCCCAAACAAUUUUAGCUGUUGUUUACAGAAGCACACUGACAUUGUAUGUGUGAAAAUAUGCAUUGGGAUAAUUAGCAUAAAACACAGCACAG
RNAcentral lists this long non-coding RNA (3306 nucleotides) under Cricetulus griseus (Chinese hamster). RNAcentral describes it as "lncRNA (ENSCGRG00000026505.1)". Lineage: Eukaryota; Metazoa; Chordata; Mammalia; Rodentia; Cricetidae. The record is from RNAcentral.